Molecule: long non-coding RNA, 517 nt
Filed under: Homo sapiens (human)
Lineage: Eukaryota; Metazoa; Chordata; Mammalia; Primates; Hominidae
Description: non-protein coding lnc-IFT122-2:1
Source: RNAcentral
CAGUCUGCUCCCAUGUACCAGUACCUGGAUAGGAAACUGUUCAAGGAAGCCUACCAGAUUGCUUGCUUGGGUGUCACAGACACUGAUUGGCGUGCACUGGCCAUGGAAGCGCUAGGUUUAGAUUUUGAAACAGCAAAGAGAAGGCAGCUGAUUUUAUUAUUCCCCACAGGCUUUCAUCAGAGUACAAGACCUCAUCAGCAGCAUUGGAGAGGAAGAAGCGGGGAGAGACCAACAAUGACCUGUUUCUGGCAGAUGUGUUUUCCUACCAGGGAUCUGGAGACCCCAAAGAAACAAAGAUGCUAAUCACCAAACAGGCUGACUGGGCCAGAAAUAUGAAAGAGCCCAAAGUCACCGUGGGGAUGUAAAUCUCAGCAGGAGAGCACGUCAAGGCCAUUGAGAUCUGUGGUGGAGUUGGUGCCCUUGUGCUACCGCUGCUCCACCAACAACCCGCUGCUCAACAACCUGGGCAACGUCUGCAUCAACUGCCGCCAGCCCUUCAUCUUCUCCGCCUCUUCCU